RNAcentral lists this ribosomal RNA (484 nucleotides) under uncultured bacterium. RNAcentral describes it as "SSU rRNA". It matches the Rfam family "Bacterial small subunit ribosomal RNA", at positions 26 to 518 of the family's 1533-position model. The record is from RNAcentral.
AGGAUUAACGCUGGCGGCGUGCAUGAAACAUGCAAGUCGAGCGCGGUGUGAUGCGGGGUAACCCAAUUCACAUCUAGCGGCGAACGGGUGAGUAACACGUGAGCAACCUACCUUUGAGUUGGGGAUAGCCCUGGGAAACCAGGAUUAAUACCCGAUGUGGUCACAACAGGACAUCCUGAUGUGAGUAAAGGCGUAAGCCGCUCAAUGACGGGCUCGCGGCCUAUUAGCUUGUUGGUGGGGUAACGGCCUACCAAGGCGAUGAUGGGUAGCUGGUCUGAGAGGACGAUCAGCCACACUGGGACUGAGACACGGCCCAGACUCCUACGGGAGGCAGCAGUUAGGAAUUUUCCGCAAUGGGCGAAAGCCUGACGGAGCAACGCCGCGUGCAGGAUGAAGGUUUUCGGAUCGUAAACUGCUUUUCUCGGGGACGAGCAAGGACGGUACCCGAGGAAGAAGCCCCGGCUAACUACGUGCCAGCAGCCGC